GACGAACGCUGGCGGCGUGCUUAACACAUGCAAGUCGAACGGAAAGGCCCUGCUUUUGUGGGGUGCUCGAGUGGCGAACGGGUGAGUAACACGUGAGUAACCUGCCCUUGACUUUGGGAUAACUUCAGGAAACUGGGGCUAAUACCGGAUAGGAGCUCCUGCUGCAUGGUGGGGGUUGGAAAGUUUCGGCGGUUGGGGAUGGACUCGCGGCUUAUCAGCUUGUUGGUGGGGUAGUGGCUUACCAAGGCUUUGACGGAUAGCCGGCCUGAGAGGGUGACCGGCCACAUUGGGACUGAGAUACGGCCCAGACUACUACGGGAGGCAGCAGUGGGGAAUAUUGCACAAUGGGCGGAAGCCUGAUGCAGCAACGCCGCGUGCGGGAUGACGGCCUUCGGGUUGUAAACCGCUUUCGCCUGUGACGAAGCGUGAGUGACGGUAAUGGGUAAAGAAGCACCGGCUAACUACGUG
This 468-nucleotide ribosomal RNA is filed under the name uncultured bacterium. RNAcentral's name for it is "partial 16S ribosomal RNA". It matches the Rfam family "Bacterial small subunit ribosomal RNA", at positions 28 to 507 of the family's 1533-position model. The record is from RNAcentral.